GAGGCUUCUUGAUCCUAUGUGUUGUAUUGAGUGUUGGUCACUGGUCUUUGGGAAGCUUGGACAGAAGUGGGGCAGCCAUGGAGCUGCUGACUGGGACUGGCCUGUGGCCCGUGGUCAUAGUCACAGUCAUCUUCAUAUUACUGGUGGACAUGUUGCACCGGUGCCAGCGCUGGACUUCUUGCUGCCCACCAGACCCUGUGCCAUGGCCUGUGCUGGGUAACCUGCUGCAGGUGGACCUGGAUAACAUGCCAUAUAACUUGUACAAGCUUCACAACCGCUAUGGUGACGUGUUCAGCCUGCAGAUGGGCUGGAACCACAUGGCCGUGAUCAACGGACUGAAGGUGAUACAGGAAGUGUUGGUGACCUGUGGAGAGGACACUGCUGACCGCCCUGAAAUGCCCAUCUUUCCACACCUAGGCUAUGGGCAAAAAGCUAAAGGCAAAGGCUGUGUGGGGGCAGAGAUGGCAUCAAAGCCAGACAAGGGGGGACAGUGAGCAAAGGAAGGUCAGAUCAUGAUGCAGGUGGUAAUGUAGUUAAGCAUUGCAGCAGAAAGUCACAGAAAUCCAUUGUGGAGCCUCCUGAGCAUGGUGGAGGGUGGUAGAGACAUGUACUGGAGGAAGGGUGAGGUAUGGAGGACACCGACAAAGAAGAGAAAUGAAGGUGGGAGGGGGCACCAAAGCCAGGUGUCCUUGGUUUUACACAGAUGUGUCUGCAGGUGUGGUCCUUGCUCCUUAUGGGCCUGAGUGGAAAGAGCAGAGGUGAUUCUCUGCGUCGACCCUGUGCAACUUCAGCCUGGGCAAGAAAUCACUGGAGCAGUGGGUGAUGGAAGAGGUUGGACACCUCUUUGAUGUCUUCACUGCCCAUGCUGAGGAGGCUGUAGACAAGAGAUUUGGAAAGAACACAUCUAGAAGUGUCCACCACAGUAAUAGGAGCCUGGAGAUUGACAUACAGCAAAAGGAAGUGAGAAGCUGACCAAGGUCAGGGCUUCUAGAAGCUGAGACCCUGGCCCUCUGCCCACAUGGAACAUCUGUGAGAUUUUCCAGGUUCUGAACACAUUCCCAAUUCUCCUACGCAUCCCAGGGUUGGCUGACAAAGUCUUCCCUGGGCAAAAGACAUUUCUCAUAAUGGUGGAUAAGCUGGUGACUGAGCACAAGAGGACCUGGAACUCGGACCAGCCGCCUCGAGACCUGACUGAUGCCUUUAUGGCUGAGAUGGAGAAGGCAAAGGGAAACCCUGAGAGUAGCUUCAAUGAUGCAAAUCUAUGUCUGGUUGUCCUUGACCUGCUGGGUGCUGCAACUGUGACCACCUCAACCACACUGUCCUGGGCCCUGCUGCUUAUGAUCCUGCAUCCGGAUGUGCAGUGUGAGCCUGGCUGGGGCUGUCAAGAAAGGAGGAGGAGGGUAGAGGCAAACUCCUUAAACUUACUUGGGACACUUGUAGAUCCCAGCAUUGAGUUAACCCAGACUGCAGUAAGUAUGGUUGCCUUAUUUCUCCCAUGGACCCAGCCCUUAACAGAGAGGUAGUGGAUGGACAAGGGGCACCCACUGAAGCAUCUUAACUGAUGGGAAAAUGUCCUUCCAGGCCAAGUACAACAGGAAAUCGAUGAGGUCAUUUGGUAUGUGUGGCUUCCAGAGAUGGCAGACCAGGUCUGCAUGCCCUUCACCAAUGCUGUCAUUCAUGAGGGCAUGACUCUCAUCUCCAACCUGUUCCGUGCUGAAGGAUGAGACUGUCUGGGAGAAGCCCCUUCGCUUCCAUCCUGAACACUUCCUGGAUGCCCAGGGCCACUUUGUGAAGCCUGAGGCCUUCAUGCCAUUCUCAGCAGCGCUUUAGCUUCUCAAUGCCAGCUGGACAAUCCCUUCCCAGUGAUUAUGGCAUCUAUACAAUGCCAGUUACUCCAGCACCUACCAGCUCUGUGCAGUGGUUUGCUAGCAGGGGCAGUGGCUCCAGCCAUCAUCACAGAUUGUUCUGACUGAUGUCCAAUAAACAAGUUUUGUGUCUGAA
RNAcentral lists this long non-coding RNA (2001 nucleotides) under Mus musculus (house mouse). Its description in RNAcentral is "novel transcript". Lineage: Eukaryota; Metazoa; Chordata; Mammalia; Rodentia; Muridae. The record is from RNAcentral.